RNAcentral lists this ribosomal RNA (499 nucleotides) under uncultured Lachnospiraceae bacterium. RNAcentral's name for it is "partial 16S ribosomal RNA". The record is from RNAcentral. Lineage: Bacteria; Bacillati; Bacillota; Clostridia; Lachnospirales; Lachnospiraceae.
CACGUAGUUAGCCGGGGCUUCUUACUCAGGUACCGUCAUUUUCUUCCCUGCUGAUAGAGCUUUACAUACCGAAAUACUUCUUCACUCACGCGGCGUUGCUGCAUCAGGGUUUCCCCCAUUGUGCAAUAUUCCCCACUGCUGCCUCCCGUAGGAGUUUGGGCCGUGUCUCAGUCCCAAUGUGGCCGGUCACCCUCUCAGGUCGGCUACUGAUCGUCGCCUUGGUAGGCCGUUACCCCACCAACUAGCUAAUCAGACGCGGGUCCAUCUCAUACCACCGGAGUUUUUCACACCGGAUCAUGCAAUCCUGUGCGCUUAUGCGGUAUUAGCAGUCAUUUCUAACUGUUAUCCCCCUGUAUGAGGCAGGUUACCCACGCGUUACUCACCCGUCCGCCACUCAGUCAAUUAAAAUUCCAUCCGAAAACUUCCUUCUAAUCGCUUCGUUCGACUUGCAUGUGUUAAGCACGCCGCCAGCGUUCAUCCUGAGCCAGGAUCAAACUCU